CCCAUCGGUCGCUGAGGGAAAAUGUCUGUCUUGAAGGAAGCAUCAUGAAGGGAGAAGGAUGGCAGGCGUGUGAAUGGCCAGGAAUAUGUCGGGCUGAUGUCUCUCUUGUGUUCCCACUGUGGUGGGGGGCCUACAGAUGAGCCCCCGUCCUCUGUGGCAACCUUGGCUCUCCCUCGCCGCGACCGGCCCCGGCGCUUGGGCGACAUGAUGACCAAUAAUUGAGCGGUGCAAUGCUGCUGGAGGAGGAGACGUCACUGCUGAUUUGGUGAAGUGCUCAGGCUGCGGAAAACAAGCCAAUUGGACAAAAUGAUAGUUCAGCACCCGCUGGCAUCAUUUCCAAAAAGGAACAGAUUAGAGGUGGAGGGAGAACUACAUUUGUGGACGCCAUCUUCUCUCCUAAUAAACAAAUGUCAGGAG
Molecule: long non-coding RNA, 417 nt
Organism: Entelurus aequoreus (snake pipefish)
Lineage: Eukaryota; Metazoa; Chordata; Actinopteri; Syngnathiformes; Syngnathidae
Exons: 3
Source: RefSeq, a predicted model, not a curated record